GAUCAUGGCUCAGGAUGAACGCUGGCGGCGUGCUUAACGCAUGCAAGUCGAACGGGAAAUAUUUCAUUGAGACUUCGGUGGAUUUGAUCUGUUUCUAGUGGCGGACGGGUGAGUAGCGCGUGGGUAACCUGCCUUAUACUGGGGGAUAACAGCCAGAAAUGACUGCUAAUACCGCAUAAGCGCACAGAACCGCAUGGUUCGGUGUGAAAAACUCCGGUGGUAUAAGAUGGACCCGCGUUGGA
RNAcentral lists this ribosomal RNA (242 nucleotides) under uncultured bacterium. RNAcentral's name for it is "partial 16S ribosomal RNA". It matches the Rfam family "Bacterial small subunit ribosomal RNA", at positions 15 to 240 of the family's 1533-position model. The record is from RNAcentral.